AAUGAACGCUGGCGGUAGGCCUAACACAUGCAAGUCGAACGGCAGCACAGUAAGAGCUUGCUCUUACGGGUGGCGAGUGGCGGACGGGUGAGGAAUACAUCGGAAUCUACUUUUUCGUGGGGGAUAACGUAGGGAAACUUACGCUAAUACAGCAUACGACCUACGGGUGAAAGCAGGGGAUCUUCGGACCUUGCGCGAUUGAAUGAGCCGAUGUCGGAUUAGCUAGUUGGCGGGGUAAAGGCCUAACAAGGCGACGAUCCGUAGCUGGUCUGAGAGGAUGAUCCGCCACACUGGAACUGAGACACGGUCCAGACUCCUACGGGAGGCAGCAGUGGGGAAUAUUGGACAAGGGGCGAAAGCCUGAUACAGCCAUACCGCGUGAGUGAAGAAGGCCUUCGGGUUGUAAAGCCCUUUUGUUGGGAAAGAAAAGAAGCAGGUUAAUACCCCGCUGUUCUGACGGUACCCAAAGAAUAAGCACCGGCUAACUUCGUG
Molecule: ribosomal RNA, 492 nt
Filed under: uncultured bacterium
Lineage: Bacteria
Description: partial 16S ribosomal RNA
Rfam family: Bacterial small subunit ribosomal RNA
Source: RNAcentral